RNAcentral lists this ribosomal RNA (460 nucleotides) under uncultured bacterium. RNAcentral's name for it is "partial 16S ribosomal RNA". It matches the Rfam family "Bacterial small subunit ribosomal RNA", at positions 338 to 795 of the family's 1533-position model. The record is from RNAcentral.
CCUACGGGAGGCAGCAGUGAGGGAUAUUGGUCAAUGGACGAGAGUCUGAACCAGCCAAGUAGCGUGAAGGAUGACUGCCCUAUGGGUUGUAAACUUCGUUUAUAUGGGAAUAAAAUGUUCCACGUGUGGGGUUUUGUAUGUACCAUAUGAAUAAGGAUCGGCUAACUCCGUGCCAGCAGCCGCGGUAAUACGGAGGAUCCGAGCGUUAUCCGGGUUUAGGGGGUUUAAAGGGAGCGUAGGUGGAUUGUUAAGUCAGUUGUGAAAGUUUGCGGCUCAACCGUAAAAUUGCAGUUGAAACUGGCAGUCUUGAGUACAGUAGAGGUGGGCGGAAUUCGUGGUGUAGCGGUGAAAUGCUUAGAUAUCACGAAGAACUCCGAUUGCGAAGGCAGCUCACUGGACUGCAACUGACACUGAGGCUCGAAAGUGUGGGUAUCAAACAGGAUUAGAUACCCCAGUAGUC